GUGUCAGCCGCCGCGGUAAUACGGAGGGUGCGAGCGUUGUCCGGAAUCACUGGGCGUAAAGGGCGCGUAGGUGGCCCGUUAAGUGGCUGGUGAAAUCCCGGGGCUCAACUCCGGGGCUGCCGGUCAGACUGGCGAGCUAGAGCACGGUAGGGGCAGAUGGAAUUCCCGGUGUAGCGGUGGAAUGCGUAGAUAUCGGGAAGAAUACCAGUGGCGAAGGCGUUCUGCUGGGCCGUUGCUGACACUGAGGCGCGACAGCGUGGGGAGCAAACAGGAUUAGAUACCCCCGUAGUCC
This 292-nucleotide ribosomal RNA is filed under the name uncultured bacterium. RNAcentral's name for it is "partial 16S ribosomal RNA". It matches the Rfam family "Bacterial small subunit ribosomal RNA", at positions 505 to 796 of the family's 1533-position model. The record is from RNAcentral.